Molecule: ribosomal RNA, 443 nt
Filed under: uncultured bacterium
Lineage: Bacteria
Description: partial 16S ribosomal RNA
Rfam family: Bacterial small subunit ribosomal RNA
Source: RNAcentral
CCUACGGGAGGCAGCAGUGGGGAAUAUUGGACAAUGGGCGGAAGCCUGAUCCAGCGACGCCGCGUGAGUGAAGAAGGUUUUCGGCAUGUAAACCUCUAUCAGCAGGGAAGAAAGACAUGACGGUACCUGACUACGAAGCCCCGGCUACCUACGUGCCAGCAGCCGCGGGAAUACGUAGGGGGCAAGCGUUAUCCGGAAUUACUGGGUGUAAAGGGUGCGUAGGCGGCAAUGCAAGUCUGAUGUGAAAGGCUGGGGCCUAACCCGGGGAUUGCAUUGGAAACUGGAAGGCUGGAGUGCAGGAGAGGUAAGCGGAAUGCCUAGUGUAGCGGUGAAAUGCGUAGAUAUUAGGAAGAACACCAGUGGCGAAGGCGGCUUGCUGGACUGAAACUGACGCUGAGGCACGAAAGCGUGGGGAGCGAACAGGAUUAGAUACCCGUGUAGUC